This 246-nucleotide ribosomal RNA is filed under the name uncultured Glomus. Its description in RNAcentral is "partial 18S ribosomal RNA". It matches the Rfam family "Eukaryotic small subunit ribosomal RNA", at positions 548 to 792 of the family's 1831-position model. Lineage: Eukaryota; Fungi; Glomeromycota; Glomeromycetes; Glomerales; Glomeraceae. The record is from RNAcentral.
UUGGAGGGCAAGUCUGGUGCCAGCAGCCGCGGUAAUUCCAGCUCCAAUAGCGUAUAUUAAAGUUGUUGCAGUUAAAAAGCUCGUAGCUGAAUUUCGGGAUUGACAUGUUGGUCGUGCCUUAAGGGGUAUGAACUGACAUUGUUGAUUUCUCACCUUCUGGAGAAUCACAAUGCUCUUAAUUGGGUGUCGUGUGGAUCCAGGAUCUUUACCUUGAAAAAAUUAGAGUGUUUAAAGCAGGCAAUCUCU